AUUGAACGCUGGCGGCACGCUUAACACAUGCAAGUCGAACGGCAGCGCGAGAGAGCUUGCUCUCUUGGCGGCGAGUGGCGGACGGGUGAGUAACGCGUAGGGAUCUGCCCUAGAGUGGGGGAUAACCUGGGGAAACUCGGGCUAAUACCGCAUAGACUCUAAGGAGUAAAGCAUGCCUCUGCAUAUGCAUGCGCUUUAGGAUGAACCUGCGUCAGAUUAGCUUGUUGGUAGGGUAAAAGCCUACCAAGGCGACGAUCUGUAGCUGGUCUGAGAGGACGAACAGCCACACUGGGACUGAGACACGGCCCAGACUCCUACGGGAGGCAGCAGUGGGGAAUAUUGGACAAUGGGGGCAACCCUGAUCCAGCGAUGCCGCGUGUGUGAAGAAGGCCUGCGGGUUGUAAAGCACUUUAAUUGGGGAGGAAGGCUUAGAGUCGAAUAGGCUUUAAGAUUGACGUUACCCAAAGAAUAAGCACCGGCUAACUCUG
This 488-nucleotide ribosomal RNA is filed under the name uncultured Coxiellaceae bacterium. Its description in RNAcentral is "bacterial SSU rRNA". It matches the Rfam family "Bacterial small subunit ribosomal RNA", at positions 30 to 505 of the family's 1533-position model. Lineage: Bacteria; Pseudomonadati; Pseudomonadota; Gammaproteobacteria; Legionellales; Coxiellaceae. The record is from RNAcentral.